UGGUUGGAUGUCCUAGAGCACCACUGUGAGUCCAGACUGGAUCACUGCUGCUACUGAGCUGCUCACUUGGAAGAAAAAGAAAAAAGAAACAACUAUAUACUGGCUGCAAACUGGUGUCAGAUGGAUUGUCAGCCAAUGCCUGUCUGUGUAGAUAUGCUUGUCCUGGCUUCGCAGUAGGCAGUCACAUACAGAAGUGUACCAGUGGGCAUCCAAAGCUUGGGCAAAAGGAAGUCCUUGGAGACUCCACACGCUUAUCCCCACCUUUAAUGGGAUAAGGAGUCAGGUUUUCUCUGAAAUCCAACCAAAUAACCAGGUUUCAGCCUUCAGAUCUCUGUGGACACCUGGAGCACUGAGGUGUAGGUCAGUGACAACCUGGUGCCUGUGAGCACCCAUGUGGAUUCCUCCAAGCAGCUGCCAGGAUUUUAAUCUUGCAGUACCCAAGUGUUGUCUGUACGUCCGAACCUCAUUAUACCAAACAAAGAACACACUGUGUCCUAAGGAGCUUACAGUAGGAAAUCAAUAUUGAUUUUUCUUCUCUGCUGCCGUGGUUACUAGCUCGUGAGCAAACCAACACACGGCAGGUGCUGAGACACCCGAGAGAAGCAUGUCGGCUCUCAUCGAUCCAUCAUCCCAUCUCCUGCUGCCACUUCCCUUCCAGAGCCACCUGAGAGUUACACAUGCACAGACAGAAGGUAUUUAAGGUAUUUACACCUUCCUCUGAGUGAAACAGGGGGCUUGGUAUUACUCAAUUCACUGAUCAUGUUGAAGGUAAUCAUGGGAAUG
Long non-coding RNA from Lepidothrix coronata (blue-crowned manakin), 783 nucleotides. RefSeq lists it as uncharacterized. The record is from RefSeq and is a predicted model, not a curated record. Lineage: Eukaryota; Metazoa; Chordata; Aves; Passeriformes; Pipridae. The transcript has 3 exons.